RNAcentral lists this ribosomal RNA (422 nucleotides) under uncultured bacterium. RNAcentral's name for it is "bacterial SSU rRNA". It matches the Rfam family "Bacterial small subunit ribosomal RNA", at positions 355 to 774 of the family's 1533-position model. The record is from RNAcentral.
UAAGGAAUAUUGGUCAAUGGACGCGAGUCUGAACCAGCCAUGCCGCGUGGAGGAUGAAGGUCCUCUGGAUUGUAAACUUCUCUUAUCUGGGACGAAACACUUCUUUUCUAGGAGGCCUGACGGUACCAGAUGAAUAAGCACCGGCUAACCCCGUGCCAGCAGCCGCGGUAAUACGGAGGGUGCAAGCGUUAUCCGGAUUUACUGGGUUUAAAGGGUGCGUAGGUGGGUAUGUAAGUCAGUGGUGAAAUCCCCGAGCUUAACUUGGGAACUGCCGUUGAUACUAUAUAUCUUGAAUAUCGUAGAGGUAAGCGGAAUAUGUCAUGUAGCGGUGAAAUGCUUAGAGAUGACAUAGAACACCAAUUGCGAAGGCAGCUUACUAUGCGAUUAUUGACACUGAGGCACGAAAGCGUGGGGAUCAAACA